AAGCGCUUGCAACCAGACUUGCAUGCUGUCGAUCAUCCAGUGUUCUCACUGGUGCACUCGAUUGCAUUCGGGCCAGCAUCGGUUUUGGUGGUUAGAUAAAGGCCUUGGGAAUGUAGCUUCUCUCGGGGAGUGUUAUAGCCCAUUGUGUAAUACCCUGUGGUGGACUGAGGUUCGCGCAUCUGCAAGGAUGCUGGCGUAAUGGU
Molecule: ribosomal RNA, 203 nt
Filed under: Helotiales sp.
Lineage: Eukaryota; Fungi; Ascomycota; Leotiomycetes; Helotiales
Description: partial large subunit ribosomal RNA
Source: RNAcentral